UACGUAGGUGGCAAGCGUUGUCCGGAUUUACUGGGCGUAAAGAGCGCGCAGGCGGUCGUUCAAGUCGCGUGUGAAAGCCCCCGGCUCAACUGGGGAGGGUCACGCGAUACUGAUCGACUGGAAGGCAGGAGAGGGUAGUGGAAUUCCCGGUGUAGUGGUGAAAUGCGCAGAUAUCAGGAGGAACACCGGUGGCGAAGGCGGGUCUCUGGGCCGAUACUGACGCUGAGGAGCGAAAGCGUGGGGAGCGAACAGG
RNAcentral lists this ribosomal RNA (253 nucleotides) under uncultured bacterium. Its description in RNAcentral is "partial 16S ribosomal RNA". It matches the Rfam family "Bacterial small subunit ribosomal RNA", at positions 524 to 776 of the family's 1533-position model. The record is from RNAcentral.